RNAcentral lists this long non-coding RNA (1590 nucleotides) under Monodelphis domestica (gray short-tailed opossum). RNAcentral's name for it is "lncRNA (ENSMODG00000034211.2)". The record is from RNAcentral. Lineage: Eukaryota; Metazoa; Chordata; Mammalia; Didelphimorphia; Didelphidae.
AGGCCCCCCCGCUUCUUCUGGCUACGGAGGCAGAGGCUGUUCGGGACGUGUCUGUCCAGGACAUGAAAAUGGCAUCGAAUGGCGUAGUAGCGGAGCUUCUUCUCCAGAACAUUUACAUAGGACAUCAUCCUUGUGAAGAAGCACAAGUGGGGCCACAAGACCCUUCCACAGUAAGGACAAGCAUUCUCCCUCCGCUGCCUCGGAGCAUUGACGAGCACUCGGGGCUUCCUGGUCGUGUGGUAGAGAUAAUGUCUGGCUCUCACUAAGUUCAUGGCUAGUCUUGCCGCCAGAGGGGGUGAAGUCGGGGGCUCCUGCCUUUGGCAUUCACGGACCCUUGGGUGGGCGCUUCUCUGGGCCUGGACAGAGAAGAAUCUACUCCAUUUCCUGGGCAGGGGUAGCUGAAUUAAAAUGGAAGAGGUCGCCACUGGAUGUCUUUGCAGAAAACUCUUUUGAGCUCGUUUGGGUUUGACGCCUUCUGGAACAGGUUUUCGAGAUGGAGCAGCUGGAGCAACUGGUCUGACCUUCCAGGAAAUUGGUGGCACUUCUGCCUUUGGUGACAAGGAGUCAAAGGUCCUCUUGGUGGUGCUGUCAGAUCUGGAAAGUGGAAGCUUGGCUGCUGAAACUGUUGAGAAGUCUUCUGAAAUCUCUACGUCUUGGGCCUUCUGGUCAUUGUUUUUUUGGUCAUUUUUUGGAGGACUUGUCAUCUUGGAAACUGCCUUUUUUGCGAAGUCUUGCAAAUCCUCUAAUUCCUUGGCCUUUUGGUACUCCUGGUCAUUGGCUUUUUGGUCUCCUUUUGGAGAACUAGCCAUGCUGGAAGUUGAUUCUUUGGAGGAGUCUUCUGAAUCUUCCUCCUGGGCCUCUUGGUCAUUGGUUUUUUGGUCUCCUUUUGGAGGACUAGCCAUGCUGGAAGUUGAUUCUUUGGAGGAGUCUUCUGAAUCUUUCUCCUGGGCCUCUUGGUCAUUGGUUUUUUGGUCUCCUUUUGGAGGACUAGCCAUGCUGGAAGUUGAUUCUUUGGAGGAGUCUUCUGAAUCUUCCUCCUGGGCCUCUUGGUCAUUGGUUUUUUGGUCUCCUUUUGGAGGACUAGCCAUGCUGGAAGUUGAUUCUUUGGAGGAGUCUUCUGAAUCUUCCUCCUGGGCCUCUUGGUCACUGGUUUUUUUGGUCUCCUUUUGGAGGACUAGCCAUGCUGGAAGUUGAUUCUUUAGAGGAGUUUUCUGAGUCCUCUUCUUCCUGGGUGUUUUGGUGGUCCUGCUCACUUGUGUUUGAAGGAAUAUCCAGUUUGGAAAUGAGUUCUGCCCAAGUUGUAUAGACAGUACUCUGACUAUUAAUCCACCAUACAACUUUAGUCAAGUGAAACUUCCAUUUUCUUAACUAUAAAAUGAAGGAGUUGUACUAGAAAUUCUCUAGCAUCCCUUCUGUAUUCCGUUUUAAGAGGUAUUUUAUUAUAAAAUUAAAUUUCUAUUAUAUUAAAAAUCAUAUUACUAUAAAAUUAAAAGUGCUACCUGAUGAUUUUUCCCCAAACGCUAGGGCUCUAACUUAUCUCAUUACAAAGAACUUGGUCUUUUCCCAGUUAGUAAUGGCUUUUUCCUCUCC